RNAcentral lists this transfer RNA (71 nucleotides) under Stegodyphus mimosarum. It matches the Rfam family "tRNA". From Rfam's summary of the family: Transfer RNA (tRNA) molecules are approximately 80 nucleotides in length. Their secondary structure includes four short double-helical elements and three loops (D, anti-codon, and T loops). The record is from Rfam by way of RNAcentral. Lineage: Eukaryota; Metazoa; Arthropoda; Arachnida; Araneae; Eresidae.
GCCUUCGUGGUGUAGUGGUCAGCACGCAGCGCGUAUUCGAGAGGUCCGUGGUUCGAGUCCCGGCGAGGGCA